UGGCGACGAAGUAGAGGUUGGGGUCAAUGUUCGGCGCCUUGUCGACGCCGACGGGGAUGAGCGGGGUGCUGGUGCUCGCGCUGGCGCCGCAACCGCGUCGUCGUCGCCGAGCCAUGCGAAGCUCCUGAGAUCGCCGUCGAUGAAGUAGGCGAACCUCCGGAACGACGCGGCGAGGACGCUGCGCCUGCCGAGGCCGACAACGGCGGCGUCCUUGCGGGAGGAGGAGGCGGAGGCAGAGGAGCACAUGUACACCACAGUGUCUAUUCCCCUGCUUGAUCAGUCUCUCUUCUCACCGACACUCGAAGACUAUUGACGAUUGAGUUUUAAGACUUUGAUCACCAUGCUUAGGCAGCUUAGCUUAAAACAUUAAUUGAAUAUAUAUAUAUUGGUCAGGGUUUUC
This 400-nucleotide small RNA is filed under the name Oryza sativa Japonica Group (Japanese rice). RNAcentral's name for it is "sRNA Os10g0388701". Lineage: Eukaryota; Viridiplantae; Streptophyta; Magnoliopsida; Poales; Poaceae. The record is from RNAcentral.